Nylanderia fulva is the source of this 3382-nucleotide non-coding RNA. Lineage: Eukaryota; Metazoa; Arthropoda; Insecta; Hymenoptera; Formicidae. The record is from RefSeq and is a predicted model, not a curated record.
UGGCAACAGUUGUUAGUCGGGGUAAAAACAGCGGGAGAAACAGCGAAAAUGCCAAGAAGAGCAGAGAUGCUGAGAAAAAGGCCAGAAAAAAAGUGAAAAUGCUAGAAAAGGCAUCGGAAUUGUCGAAAAAAGUACCGGGAGUAUCGAAAAUAAUAUCGGGAACGUCGAGAAAAGUUUCGGCAAUGCCGUGACGACUAUUAUUAUGCUUCCAACAUCUUCCUCACACAUCCCUUCCAGUCAGCUUCAAUUGUAUGGGCUUUGAUGGUACAGAGAUCAGAUGCAAAAUCAUUUUAAUGUUGUCGCGAUUUACGCACUCAAUCUUGAACUUCUUGAUGAGCUGCAGAAAGGAAGAGAAAAAAACGAGAUGCAUCAGAAUUGGAACAAUGUCGAAUUGGAAUUUAUUAGACUCACCUGCGCCAACGUGAGAGACAGUUGCGUUUCCGCGAGUUUGCGACCAAUGCAGCUCCUCACUCCCAUCGCAAACGGCAGAGUGGCAUACGAAUUCUUCACACCUUGAUAAGAACCGUCUUUCGUCCUGAUCCACCUUUCCGGCCUGAAGUCAUUCGGUUUCGGAAAAUCGUUUCCAUUCCGGCCGCUCGAGUAUAUCGACAUGAUGAUUAAAUCCUAGGAAAUUGAAAGUUCUAUCUCUUACAAGUUGCAAACAUUUUUGUCUAUGUAAUAUGUAGAAAUCUACAAGUCUAUAGUUUGAAACGAUAUAACGCAGAAAUUUAUUAUUCCACAGGAUUACCUCCUUCGAAACGAAGUAAUCGCCUAUUGUGCUGUCCGCCGGCAAAUAUCUCGUCAGAAAUGGCGCGAUAGGGUGCAACCUUAGAGCUUCCCUCCACACGCCUUUCAGCAGAGGAUGCCGUAGAAUCUCCUCCGUCGACAGGUCCUUGAUAUCGUGAAACAACUGGUCCUGCAGCUCAGGACGACCGCUGAGCAAUAGCAACGCCCAUUGCAUGCUGAUUGCCGUCUAAAUAAUCAAAUGAUUCUAAAAAUAAUCGUUUUUUAUAAGGCACUUUAUAUAUUGAUAAAUUGAAGAACGCACUGUGUCGCCAGCAGCUAUAAUGAAAUCGACGACGAUUCUGACAAUGUCAUCAUCGCGGAUGCCGUUGCUCAUCAUCAUCUGUAAAAGUCCGUCGCUGUCUAGCUGGAUCAUUUUCGGAACUAAACUGCGUACUUUGACCAUAAUUGUGUCAGCAGUGCGAACAAACUCGGUCCAUGCCGACAGUUUGAGUUUCAUGGCCAGCUUGGCCGGCAUCAUCGACAGGGUGGCGGAAUACAUGAAAAUUUGGUGCAGCAUCAGAGCCAAAUGCUCCGCCUCGGAACGCAUUUGCUGCUUACAAUCUCGCCAUCGCGAACCUAUCAGAGUCGCCAGCAUGGCUGCAAGAACAUGCGACUUCAAUCAGUCGUAAGCGCUAACUAAAUACAUAUAUAUAUAUAUAUAUGUAAAGGCUUACUUUCGAUAGACCACAGAUAGAGCUGAGAUUCCAGAUUCGGUAUCGUAGAACCGACUAAACUGUGAUCCAUCCACUUUCUCGCUAGAUUCUCGGCGGCUUCCUGGCAAGGUGUGCACAUUAAUUUUGCUGGAUCAGGAAGCAACAUCGUCUUGUUGAGGAUACGGCGAAAGUGCAACCACUCGUCUCCAUCCCUGUUUAAAAAAACAAAACGGUGUCAAUAAAAGAACAUUCUGUGCAUACAUGAAGAGUAGUCCUCGGCGCUCCGCUCGGAUCUCGUUGUACAGCCUCCAGGCCUCUGGUAGAAAAUGUUGCGGCGUAGGACCCUCGAGUCGCAAGAAGAUGUUGCGAAAUUCAUCAGUCGAUUUGACGAAGACGGCCCGCAAUGGUCCGAUCUUAUCCUUGAAGAUUGGGCCCAGUUCUUGAUGUUUUCUGUCCACGUACUCGUGCAGUUUCUGCGCACCUCCAGCCAUCAAUAGGGACAACAUCGUACCGAACAAGGGGAUUCCUUGUGGCUCGGGCAGUGGUUUUCUCGCAGAAGUGCUAAAGUCUCGCACGAAUGUUUGCGAAAACGCCGAUCUCCUCGUCGCAUUCUGGCCGACGAAGUUCCUCGAGGAACGAGCAGUAUCUUUUUCAUUCUUUCUCUUCUCUAGGACGAAGACUCGUGGAUCGAAGCAUCCCAGCGUUCCGCGUUCCUUGGAGAACGAGACGUUGAACUCACUGCAAUAGUUCGCCGACCUCGAGAUUCUACGCGAGAUUCUUCGCACCACCCAGUGCAUCUUCACGACGACACCGGGUAUAUGAAUUCGCGGGAACUGUGUGCGACGACUGUGCGCGAAUCUUCACUGUCGACAAGAGAAAUCAGAUCGUAUCAUCGAUUCAGCAUCUUUUUCUUCGAGUCGACGAAAUUAGAAAUUAUCAGGACAAAGUUUGCAAAUGGCUAAAAGAGAGAAUCUCUAUUUUUCUGUACCGGAAAUACCGCACCAAUCUUACGUACUAUAUUAACAUAAUGCGAUGCGUUAUGCGUUUCUUCACGCACUGAGAAAGUGCUGCAUGGUCGGGAGAUAAAAAGCGCGAUUAACAAAGAAGGAUGAUAGCAGAAACGAAGUGCGUAUCAUGUGUAUGCAUAAGCAUUUCGGCGGGAGAAAUUGACAAGUUUUAUCUCUCGUCGACGAUGAGCGUUCUUCAUCAUCCGACCGCAGAAUGAUGCUGCCGCGCGAUACAAUCUUUCUCUGAUAUUCAAUGAAACGCAUAUAUAGUAUCAUGAAAUAUCUCGUACAAUUAAUGUUUAUUCAUUUUCAAUUUCAUUAAACAGAAAAAGUGUGAAAUAUCGAUAAGCCGAAACAUCCUAAUGAGCGAGCGUUAAACGACUCUUCAGAUCUCGAAAGCACGCCAUCAACGAUAAGAUGCUAUCCUUUGGUCCAGUGUUUCUCAAACUCAAAUGUGAGUAUAUAUACCGUUCUUCAGUUGCACCCAAUUGUGUCGAAUGUUUCUGUCAAUCUAACAAGCCAUUCUACAGAGAGUCGGACUCGUCUGGCGAGUAUCUCGAUGCUUACUGCCGCGUUCGGCUUCCUGAUAUCCGGUCGCGGUGGUAAACCGGAAACACGGCUGACCGGAAACGGAGCGAAACUAGAACUGAACCGAUCAUCUCUACCUUCUUUUACAACAGAGUCGUUCAGACUCGCAACGGGAGAUCGUAAGCCGCUAAAAAAGGAAUUCUUUUGUUCAACAAUAAAUUUUGGAACAAGCUGUAAGCGCCUAUAAAUAAUGCAAAGGAAUAUAUUUGAAUGUCAAAAUAGUUGAAACGAUUUAUCGAGAAUACAAAAAAGAGACAUAAAGAGAGAAGAGGGAAAAGGAAAAAACAAGUCACUUCUAUCUUAAAAUAUGCUCAAUUUAUUCAAAAUAAAUCACAACCAUAUAAAUUU